This 253-nucleotide ribosomal RNA is filed under the name uncultured bacterium. Its description in RNAcentral is "partial 16S ribosomal RNA". It matches the Rfam family "Bacterial small subunit ribosomal RNA", at positions 524 to 776 of the family's 1533-position model. The record is from RNAcentral.
UACGUAGGGUCCGAGCGUUGUCCGGAAUUACUGGGCGUAAAGAGCUCGUAGGUGGUUUGUCACGUUGUUCGUGAAAACCCACAGCUCAACUGUGGGCGUGCGAGCGAUACGGGCAGACUAGAGUACUGCAGGGGAGACUGGAAUUCCUGGUGUAGCGGUGGAAUGCGCAGAUAUCAGGAGGAACACCAGCGGCGAAGGCGGCGCUCUGGGCCGGUACUGACGCUGAGGAGCGAAAGCGUGGGGAGCAAACAGG